This 71-nucleotide transfer RNA is filed under the name Lachnospiraceae bacterium. RNAcentral's name for it is "tRNA-Cys". It matches the Rfam family "tRNA". From Rfam's summary of the family: Transfer RNA (tRNA) molecules are approximately 80 nucleotides in length. Their secondary structure includes four short double-helical elements and three loops (D, anti-codon, and T loops). The record is from RNAcentral. Lineage: Bacteria; Bacillati; Bacillota; Clostridia; Lachnospirales; Lachnospiraceae.
GGCGUCUUAGCCAAGUGGUAAGGCACGGGUCUGCAACACCUUGACCGCCAGUUCAAAUCUGGCAGACGCCU